RNAcentral lists this ribosomal RNA (267 nucleotides) under uncultured Geobacillus sp. RNAcentral's name for it is "partial 16S ribosomal RNA". It matches the Rfam family "Bacterial small subunit ribosomal RNA", at positions 1113 to 1382 of the family's 1533-position model. The record is from RNAcentral. Lineage: Bacteria; Bacillati; Bacillota; Bacilli; Caryophanales; Anoxybacillaceae.
AGUUGCCAGCAUUCGGUUGGGCACUCUAGAGGGACUGCCGGCGACAAGUCGGAGGGAGUGGGGAUGACAUCAAAUCAUCAUGCCCCUUAUGACCUGGGCUACACACGUGCUACAAUGGGCGGUACAAAGGGUCGCGAACCCGCGAGGGGGAGCCAAUCCCAAAAAGCCGCUCUCAGUUCGGAUUGCAGGCUGCAACUCGCCUGCAUGAAGCCGGAAUCGCUAGUAAUCGCGGAUCAGCAUGCCGCGGUGAAUACGUUCCCGGGCCUU